Molecule: long non-coding RNA, 173 nt
Organism: Coffea eugenioides
Lineage: Eukaryota; Viridiplantae; Streptophyta; Magnoliopsida; Gentianales; Rubiaceae
Exons: 3
Source: RefSeq, a predicted model, not a curated record
GAAGAGGCAGAGCCGAAGAAGCUGAAGCUUUACUCAUACUGGCUGAGCUCUUGUUCUUGUCGCGUUCGCAUUGGUCUCGACUUAAAAGGAUUGGAGUACGAGUACGUAGCGGUGAAUUUUCCUGAAGGAGAACAGCAGACUCCUGAGUUUUUGAAGCUUAACCCUAUGGGGUA